This is a non-coding RNA of Pantherophis guttatus, 2352 nucleotides long. NCBI's taxonomy places the organism in Eukaryota, Metazoa, Chordata, Lepidosauria, Squamata, Colubridae. The record is from RefSeq and is a predicted model, not a curated record.
CCAACACAUUCUCCUUCCUUGUGUUUUCUGCUGCAGGUGGAUACCCUGCGUCAUGUUAUCAAUCAGACGGGAGGAUACAGUGACGGUUUGGGAGGAAAUUCACUGUACAGUCCACAUAAUUUAAAUGCAAAUGGAGGCUGGCAGGACGCGACCACUCCAUCUUCUGUGACUUCUCCAACAGAAGGGCCGGGAAGCGUGCACUCCGAUACCUCUAACUAAUCUCCCAACAAGUCUUUCCUCUCUCCACCCCACUACUCCCUCUUCCCCUCCUUGCCCCGCAAUGCGCUGAGAUGCCUUCUCCGUUCGUCCGUCAUCCCAGAAGGGAAAGACAAGAAAAAAAGAGGGGAAAAAAAACCCACCCCAAAAGAAAUUUUUUCUCAGCCCAUCACGGAGAACCCUUUUUCUUUUUCCUGCACCACCUUGUCGGACAGCAAAAUUUGGGCUCCCUUUUUUUUCACACACCCCACCCUCUCCGGAAGGUGUGAUUUGAAACCUUUAUACUUCAAACUCGCCGAGAGGCGCGCCCUCACUCCAUAUUAAGGAAAACAAAACAUAAAAUAAAAAUAAACCACCAAGCACUUUAUCCAGCUGAGGGGCCAAGAUGGCGCAUGGUUUUGUUGCCCUCCAGCGGAUUCUUAAAAAGAUGGCCGCCUUCUGGUUAUUGGCUUCUUGGCUUGAAGAGGUCAUCGGAAGACUUUAUCCUUAAGAAUAAACUCAAGUUUUAUCCGCACCAGGCUGAGCUGGUGACGGGUGAGUGGCUGGGUGGGGAGAAAAGCUGGGAGACUUAUUCACCCUCCACCCAAUUUCCACCGCCAUUGGAAGGGAGUUGGCCAACCUUUAGUUGUGCCCAGUUUUUCAGAGCGGGGCGAAACUGUGUUGUUUUUUUUUUCUCAACGCUUCCUUGCUUUUCUGCUGAUAUUUGUCGGGGCUCUCUCUUUUCCACCGAGGGUUGUUUUAUUCCUUUUGAACCUUCGCAACCGAUGAUAGCACAGUCCUCUUCUCCUCCUGGUGCGUCGUCCGGCACAGACAAUCCGUGCGAGGCGGAGACACUGGCUUUUGACAUUUGCAAAUAUAUAUAUAUCUACAUCUAUACAUAUAUAUAUAUAUAUAUAAACCCGGUUGCCAAGUCCACGUUGAGUUGCAUCCGCCGAGGUUUUGGCCACCGCUCCUUCGCGUUGGCUGAUUGGGGGCACUGUUCUCCGGAGUGUUGUACAUAGUGUAGCUAAAAAGAAUAUUUAUACAUCUCACCAAUCAAAACACAGCUUUAUUACCUCAUGCGAACUCAUGCGAACCAAUAGAAUCAUUCUUUAGCUUAGAGUGCUCACUACUACCUCUAAACCAGCCUUCCUUCAACCUGGGAUUCUCACGAUGUCGUAGACCGAUCAGCUGUCACCAUCACUGGUCAGCCACGUCUUUCUUCUGGGGCUGAUGGGAAUUGUAGUCCAACACACCCAGAGGGUGCUGGGUUGAGGAAGCCUGCUCUAAACAAUACUCACGCUGUACUUUCUUUCUUUCCCCCCCUUCCUCUUUAAUCUCUUCCCUCCUUUAUUUUUCGACCGUUUAUUUUUUACCAUCUUGUAACCAACUCUUUUCAAUUCUUUCCUCCAUGUAACUGUACAUUGUAAUCUUUUAAAUAAUAAGGAAAAAGAAAACGUUUUUUUUUAAAAAAAAAAAAAAGGAAAAAAAGAAAAAAGGAGAAAAAAAAAAUUCCAGGUUGCGUUGAUGACUUUUGAAAAAAGAAAAAAAGAACCUGAUUCUAUAUAUAAAUAUAAAUAUAUAUAUACAUAUAUAUAUAUAUAUAUAUAUAUUAAAAAAAAAAACCACCCGGACACCCUUUGAAGCUUUGAAAUAGAAAUUUUGAGUUUCGACGCUAAGCAGUCAAACUGUUUGUAAAUACGGAGAAACAUUUUGAAUGUUCUUUCAUCCUGUUACGAUCUUAAUUCACGCGAAAGAAGAAGAAGAAGAAAGAAGAAGAGAAAAAAAACAAAAACUGAAGCCGAUAAUGGAUUGUAAAGGAGAUCGCGUUCUUGAUAUUCAAUAUAUUUCACCCUGUAUAAUUAGGGAAAGGGGUGGGUGGGUGCCGUUUAAUUUUUCUUUCUUUCUUUUUUUUUUCUUUCCUUCUUUCUUUCUUAAUUUUUUUCCCCCCUCUUUUAUAUAGUAUGUGAUUCUGAAGCUGAUUGGCUGAAUUGCAAAAAAACAAAAAAACAAAAAAAAGUGGCAGUGAUUCUAAUUGUAUUAAACCGUUUGGUGUUACUUUCUAACUGGAUUACACCCUGAACUGAAGUCUUCCCUUGUGAUAGUUCUAUGUAGUCUGGAACCAUGAAUAAAACUUUUUCCUUUCAUGAGAUCAAA